Sinocyclocheilus rhinocerous is the source of this 272-nucleotide long non-coding RNA. RefSeq lists it as uncharacterized. The record is from RefSeq and is a predicted model, not a curated record. NCBI's taxonomy places the organism in Eukaryota, Metazoa, Chordata, Actinopteri, Cypriniformes, Cyprinidae. The transcript has 3 exons.
UUGGACAGGGCACGUUUGCUGGGAGUUUUACCUGACUGUAUCUAUAACCCCAGCUACAGCAUAAAGGGAUAUCCUUUAAUGCGCUACCAGGGCCUGCAGUUUGUGCACCUGACGUACGUGUAUCCUAAUGACUACACACGGCUCACACACAUGGAGAACGAUAACAAAUGUUUCUACCAUGGGAAUCCAUAUUACCUGGAAAGAUACGGCUUCUCAAACUACAUUCAACUGGAUUUGCCUGAAAAUGAGGAGUUAGUCAUCAAAUACAAAGG